Molecule: non-coding RNA, 108 nt
Organism: Xylariaceae sp. FL0804
Lineage: Eukaryota; Fungi; Ascomycota; Sordariomycetes; Xylariales; Xylariaceae
Source: the annotation of a GenBank genome assembly
GACACUGUGGCCGAGUGGUUAAGGCGAUGGCCUGCUAGUUCCUCAGUGCCCUAGCAUACAAGACAGCCAUUGGGUUCGCCCGCGUGAGUUCGAAUCUCAUCGGUGUCG